RNAcentral lists this ribosomal RNA (429 nucleotides) under Acidobacteriota bacterium. RNAcentral describes it as "Acidobacteria bacterium partial 16S ribosomal RNA". It matches the Rfam family "Bacterial small subunit ribosomal RNA", at positions 355 to 776 of the family's 1533-position model. The record is from RNAcentral. Lineage: Bacteria; Pseudomonadati; Acidobacteriota.
UGGGGAAUUUUGGACCAUGGGGGAAACCCUGAUCCAGCCAUCCCGCGUGUGCGAUGAAGGCCUUCGGGUUGUAAAGCACUUUUGGCAGGAAAGAAACGUCAUGGGUUAAUACCCCGUGAAACUGACGGUACCUGCAGAAUAAGCACCGGCUAACUACGUGCCAGCAGCCGCGGUAAUACGUAGGGUGCAAGCGUUAAUCGGAAUUACUGGGCGUAAAGCGUGCGCAGGCGGUUCGGAAAGAAAGAUGUGAAAUCCCAGAGCUCAACUUUGGAACUGCAUUUUUAACUACCGGGCUAGAGUGUGUCAGAGGGAGGUGGAAUUCCGCGUGUAGCAGUGAAAUGCGUAGAUAUGCGGAGGAACACCGAUGGCGAAGGCAGCCUCCGGGGAUAACACUGACGCUCAUGCACGAAAGCGUGGGGAGCAAACAGG